RNAcentral lists this ribosomal RNA (422 nucleotides) under uncultured bacterium. Its description in RNAcentral is "bacterial SSU rRNA". It matches the Rfam family "Bacterial small subunit ribosomal RNA", at positions 355 to 774 of the family's 1533-position model. The record is from RNAcentral.
UGAGGAAUAUUGGUCAAUGGGUGCAAGCCUGAACCAGCCAUCCCGCGUGAAGGACGACUGCCCUAUGGGUUGUAAACUUCUUUUGUAUAGGGAUAAACCUACCCUCGUGAGGGUAGCUGAAGGUACUAUACGAAUAAGCACCGGCUAACUCCGUGCCAGCAGCCGCGGUAAUACGGAGGGUGCAAGCGUUAUCCGGAUUUAUUGGGUUUAAAGGGUCCGUAGGCGGACUUAUAAGUCAGUGGUGAAAGCCUGUCGCUUAACGAUAGAACUGCCAUUGAUACUGUAAGUCUUGAGUAUAUUUGAGGUAGCUGGAAUAAGUAGUGGAGCGGUGAAAUGCAUAGAUAUUACUUAGAACACCAAUUGCGAAGGCAGGUUACCAAGAUAUAACUGACGCUGAGGGACGAAAGCGUGGGGAGCGAACA